Molecule: transfer RNA, 64 nt
Filed under: Botryllus schlosseri
Lineage: Eukaryota; Metazoa; Chordata; Ascidiacea; Stolidobranchia; Styelidae
Description: transfer RNA-Ser(UCN)
Source: RNAcentral
GAUUAUAUAGUUAAAUUAAUAAUAAGCAGCUUGAAACUGCUAGUUGGUUUAGGGCCUAUUUCUA